GGGGGUGGAAGCAUCAUCGUUCUCUCUGCGCCUGCAUCACACACAGAGUUAAAUUUCCCCCCCCUUUUGACCGUGCAUAGGCCCCCCUAUCUUUAGAUCUUUAAAUGGAAACUUGUCUGAGUGGGUGGACGAAGAAAAAGCUGUCUCUCCUAUUAAAAUUGAAAUUAACUUCUAAGUGAAAAGGCUUAGAUUUUCUAGAGGGACGAUAAGACCCUAUAAUAGCUUUAUAAAUCCAGCAAGUUAGAACAAAUUUUUUAUAAUAAAGGUAAAUUUAAUAUAUUUAUUUGGUGGGGGGGACAAUGGUAUAAUAUUAAAUAACUGCUACUAAAAUUAAACAACUAUAUUUGACUAAAAUUAUAAUUGAUCCUUAUAAUGGAUUAAAAGAUCACGUCACUUUAGGGAUAACAGCGUAAUUUCUUUUAAGAGUUCUUAUGAAAGAAGAAGCUUGCGACCUCGAUGAUGAAUUAAAAUGUCUUCAUCGCGCAGAAGCUGUAAAAGAAGGUCUGCGCAACCUUCAAUUAUUUACGCGAGCUGAGGCAGACCGGACUUUAUCAGAGGUGCCACCCCUUAUUGAACGAGGCAUACUGAGCAUCCCCUUAACUACCCUGCCGAUUCAUGUUGUACCUCCGCUUACAAAUACCCUCCACCUUCUGCGUGUAUGCCUUCCGUGAGUCUAUAUCCACGGAGGUGCUCUUUCAUCCUAUCUCUCACCCCAUCCCCUAAUCCCAAUCCCCAGUCAUUCAGCUGUUCCCCUUCCGAUGAAAC
Molecule: ribosomal RNA, 765 nt
Filed under: Scylla serrata (giant mud crab)
Lineage: Eukaryota; Metazoa; Arthropoda; Malacostraca; Decapoda; Portunidae
Description: partial 16S ribosomal RNA
Source: RNAcentral